This 69-nucleotide transfer RNA is filed under the name Camelus bactrianus (Bactrian camel). It matches the Rfam family "tRNA". From Rfam's summary of the family: Transfer RNA (tRNA) molecules are approximately 80 nucleotides in length. Their secondary structure includes four short double-helical elements and three loops (D, anti-codon, and T loops). RNAcentral also lists the same sequence under 2 other names. Lineage: Eukaryota; Metazoa; Chordata; Mammalia; Artiodactyla; Camelidae. The record is from Rfam by way of RNAcentral.
GGUAAUAGCUCAGUGGUAGAGCAUAUGCUUAGCAUGCAUUAGGUCCUGGGUUCAAUCCCCAGUACACCA